This is a non-coding RNA of Sus scrofa (pig), 575 nucleotides long. The record is from RefSeq and is a predicted model, not a curated record. NCBI's taxonomy places the organism in Eukaryota, Metazoa, Chordata, Mammalia, Artiodactyla, Suidae.
GUGGUCACUGACCUGCUCUGACGCCUGCUCAUCUGUCUGCCCAACAUUCUCUGGCCCACCUGAUCCCCCACCCGACUGGAUACCUUGUUACAAUUUUGAAAGGAGAGGCCCACAUCUAACAGUAAGUGAGAAAGGCAGGUGGAGGCUCUUGUGGUCACUGACCUGCUCUGAAGCCUGCACAUCUUCUGGCCCUGAUCGAACCCACCUGAUCUCCACACCCACCUGCUUACCUUCUUACCAUCUUGAGAGGAGAGGCCCACAUCCAACAGGGAGUGUCAGAAAGGCAGUUGGAGGCCCUCGUGGUCACUGACCUGCUCUGACGCUCACUCACCUGCCUGCCCUGCUCUGACCCACCUGAUCCCCACACCCGCCUGGUUACCUCGUUACCAUCUUGAGGAGAGGCCCACAUCCAAAAGUGAAAAUCAGAAAGGCAGUUGGAGGCCCUGUGGUCUCCGACCUGCUCUGACGCUCGCCCGUUUCUCCACCUCUCCCACCCCAUCCCUGGGUGCAUUUCCACCAAAGAGGCACAGCUCCAGCAGCGAGAGGUCACAAAACAUCAAACAUGGUGAAGAUGG